UGCCCAUAUCAAUGAUGCAGAUUUCUCACCUAGAAAUCGCCUUAGGUCUUCAUGAAUUGUUGCCAUGGGAGACCUCUCCCUCCCAUUUACAUGUCCAAUGAGAAGCAGUAGAAACUCUCCACACUUGAGCCUCAAUUUUUCAUCUACUUGUUUGUCUCUAAUGAGUAUGGCAACUUCCUCAAUGCCAUUGCAAGCCUCAAAAUCCGCCUGAUUGGCAGAUGAAUCCAGCAUGAUAGCAAUAAAAGCAUCCAAGCAUGCUCCUUGUCCCAGUACCCCUCGAGUCGACAGUAUGUUCAUCAACACCGGGAUUGCCUUGUACUGAUGGGCCAAAACAUUACUCUCGCAAUGAAUCAGACAACAACCUUCCAGAACUCUAAGCGCUAGAGAAACUUCAGAAUCAGUUGACGGGCUGGUUAUUUCCAUAGGUUCCACAGUAAAUAUGUGGUCUAGACUGGUAACAUUCUGGUCCUCUGUAUCUCUCAAGGAAUGUCUGAAAAGAACUGGAACCACUUGAAGAUCGGGAAUGGAUUGGCUGUGACAGAAGAUGUUGAUGGUAGUAUCUGACUCGGCAACGGAUCGGAGGAACUUGAG
This 591-nucleotide unclassified non-coding RNA is filed under the name Hevea brasiliensis (rubber tree). Lineage: Eukaryota; Viridiplantae; Streptophyta; Magnoliopsida; Malpighiales; Euphorbiaceae. The record is from RNAcentral.